CGCCGGCGGCGAGGCCGACGGGCUGGCCGAUGGUUUCGGACCGUCGGCCGGCGGUUCCUCCGCCGCCGGCGGC
This 73-nucleotide transfer RNA is filed under the name Micromonospora sonchi. RNAcentral describes it as "tRNA-Arg". Lineage: Bacteria; Bacillati; Actinomycetota; Actinomycetes; Micromonosporales; Micromonosporaceae. The record is from RNAcentral.